RNAcentral lists this long non-coding RNA (18748 nucleotides) under Pelobates cultripes (western spadefoot toad). Lineage: Eukaryota; Metazoa; Chordata; Amphibia; Anura; Pelobatidae. The record is from RNAcentral.
UUUGAUUCUUUCUUGUAGGUGUGGGCUAUACAGUGAUAUUAAUAGCUCUCUACGUGGGAUUCUAUUACAAUGUAAUAAUUGCUUGGUCAUUGUACUACCUUGCAUCUUCCUUCACCUCUGUUCUUCCAUGGACCAAGUGUGGCAAUGAGUGGAACAGUCCCAACUGCACUGAUCCCAAGCAUCUCAAUAUUUCUCUACUCAGUAAUGGAACUAAAUACUCAAAAUAUAAAAUAACUCCAGCCACUGAAUUUUAUGAGUAAGUGUUUCAUUUUGAUUUUAAUAGUAAAUCCCAUGAUUAUUGACACCUGCAAUACUCUGAAACAAAGUUUAUUAACUAAAAUAAAAAUAUGACAUGUUGAUAAUAAAUGGUGUAUUCUCUAACAGAUAAUAAUUGCUUUGAGAUGGUUUUAUGUGUUGAAAAUACAUGUUUGUAUGUAAUAUAGUAGAUUGAGCUCACACUUACUGUAAAAUUGUUAUUUAGACAUUGAAAAUGGUUCUUUAAAGAGGAUUUAAAGGGACACUAUGGUCACCAGAACAACUACAGCAUAUUGUAUUUGUUUUGGGGAGUAUAAUCAUUCUCUUCAGGCUUUUUGCAGUAAACACGGUCUUUUCUGAGAAAAAGCAGUGUUUACAUUACAGCCUAGGGAUACCUGCAGUGGCCACUCCUCAUACGGCUACUAGAGGUGCUUUCUGGGGAAAUGCUGCACACAUUGCAGCACAGGCAUUCAUCAUAGAAAUGCAUUGAUUCAAUGUAUCUCUCUAAGGAGAUGCUGAUUUCCAGGGCAGUGUUUGGCUUGUGCUGGCUUUGCCCCUGAUCUACCUCCUUGACAGUCUCAGCCAAUCCAAUAGGAAAGCAUUGUGAUUGCUUAAGAGAAUCACUUGUGAUCAGGGGUAGAGACAGAAGCAGCAGACUGGAAUAAAGAUAAGAUUAUACUAUAUUUAGAGGGACGGGAGGGGCAGGGGAGCUAGAUGGUGUUUUAACAAUAUAGUGUCAGGAAUACAUGUUAUAGUGUUCCUUUAACCCCUUAAGGACACAUGACCUGUGUGACAUGUCAUGAUUCCCUUUUAUUCCAGAAGUUUGGUCCUUAAGGGGUUAGCAGCAGGAACAGAAAUCACUGAAGGUAAAUGCUUAUUGUGAUUGGUUUAUUUUUCAAAGGAUGACAUUCACAUUUGUUAUAUAAACAAAACAAAAAUAAUUAAAGGGACACUAUAGUCACCAAAACAACUUUAACUUAAUGAAGCAGUUUUGGUGUAUGUAUCAUGUCCCUGCAGUCUCACUGCUCAAUUCUCUGCCAUUUAGGAGUUAAAUCACUUUGUUUAUGAACUCUAAUCAUACCUCCCUGCAUGUGACUUUCAAAGCCAGCCUCUUCUCCUGGGGGGCCGGCGUGCGAGGGAGCCCUCUCUCCUGUGUGCUUCCUCUUCAGCUCCCUCGCGCACCGCACUGAUACCGGAGCCGGAAGAUGACGUCAUCUUCUGGCGCCGGCAUACCUAUGCGGCGUGCGAGGGAGUUGAAGAGGAAGCACACAGGGGAGAGUGCUCCCUCGCGCGCCGGCCACCCAGACAGACAGCCCGCCCGCCGGGGUCAGCCUCGGGGGGGCCCUGAGGUGGCCGCCCAGGAGCCAAGUAGCACCACUGGACCCCAGGCAGGGCCGGUGCAAGGAUUUUUGCCACCCUAGGCAAAAGUAAAGUUUGCCGCCCCCCCCAUGUGACAUCACAAUGCCCCACCCAUAUGAUCUGCCAUGUUAACUAACGCCAGUGCUGCAGUGCCGCCGUGUUUACAUUAAAAGGCCCUGCAGGCUAUGGACACCAGAACCACUACAUUAAGCUGAAGUGGUUCUGGGGACUAGAGAUUAGUGCCAUGAAUAAUAUACUAGAUUGCCUACUUACAACCAGAUGAGGAUGAUGAUGGGCUCUAGCUGCAGUCUGGCUCCACUGGUCUGGUGUAGAACAGGCUCCCUGGAGGCUGUUUGUAACUGUGGUCACAAAAAUCAAUGUUCUGGGAGAAUGGGAAGCAGCUCCAUUUUUUUUUUUUAAGGCCCUUUACACAGCUCAAGGUCUGGGUCCCAAGGUCCACUUUCAUGUUCCACCAAUGAGUUUGUUCACAGGGGGUGGAGUAGGGGGAUGUCCGGAUAUGUGUGUAAGGAAUGCAUUGUGUGAAUCUGUGUUUGUAUGUGUAAGAGCUGCAAGGUGUGUUUCUGUGUAUGUACGGGAUGCAUUGAGUGUGUGCAUCUGUAAGGGGUGCAUUGAGUGUGUGUAAGGAAUGCAUUGUGUGUUUCUGUGUGUGUAAGGGAUGCAUUGUGUGUAAGAGUUGCAUUGCUUGUGUGUGUGUGUCUGUGUGCGUAAUGCAUUGUGUGUUUUUCUGUGUGCAAGGGGUGCUUUGUCUUUGUGUGUAAGGGGUGCAUUGUGUGUGUGUGUGAUGGAUGUCAGUCUCUUCUCCCCCCUCUACCUCCCUUGUCCCUCUCUUCUCCCCCCCUUGUCACUCUCUUCUCCCCUGCUUGUCCCUCUCUUCUCCCCCCUCCCUUGUCACUCUCUUCUCCCCCGUUGUCACUCUCUUCUCCCCUCCCCACUCUUAUUCACCCAUAAAUUCCCCUCCCUGUCAAUUUCUUCCCCUCCCCUGUCAAUCCCCUGUAUUCCCCCCCUGUAAAUUUCCCCCUCCUGUCAAUUUCCCCCUCCCUGUCAGUUUCCCCCCUUCCUGUCAAUUUCCCCCUCCCUGUCAAUUCACCCCUCCUGUCAAUUUACCCCGUCCAUUUCCCCCCUCCCUGUCCAUUUCCCCCCACCUGUCCAUUCCCCCCAUGUCAAUUUCUCCCCCUACCUCCCUGUAGCAUGGCCGAGCCCUCUAUGGUAUGGUCUGCGGGUACAGGGAGCUUUUGUUUCCUGUACCCAGCCGGACUAACAAGAAGUACACACUCAGUGUGCACUUCCUGUUAGUCCAGCCGGGUACAGGACACAAAAGCUCCCUGUACCCGCGGACCAUAUCAUAGAGGGCUCGGCCACGCUACAGGGAGGGAGUGACAGGAGGGAGUGCUCAGCGCUUCCCUCCUGUCAGCCCCUCUCCCCAUGCUGCGCCCGGGCGGAGCGGUCUGCCCUCAUGGACGCACCGCCCGGGCAAAGCUGCAGCCGCCUGAGGCUCUCUACAGAGUGCUCUGGCGGCUGCAGCAUGAGCGGGGCCAGCGCUCCUGGCGGCGCCCCCUCCCAAGGGGCGCCCUAAGCGGCUGCCUAGUCUGCCUUACAGGUAGUGCCGGCCCUGACCCCAGGGAAUCCCCUCAGCUCUCCAAAAGGUAAGGAGGCUGGGGGGAUUACAUUUAAAAAAAAAUGUGUGUGUUAGUGUGUGUGUUUGUAUCAAUGAGUGUCUGUUAUUGGGUGUGUGUCUGCUAGUGAGUGUGUUUGAUGUCUGUUAGUGAGUGUGUGUUUGUCAGUGAAAGUUUUUUUGUGAGUGUGUAUGUAUGUCUGUUGCUGAGUGUGUCUCUGUCAGUAAAUGUGUGUGUCUGUUAGCUAGUGUGUAUGCGUCUGUUCGUGAGAGUGUGUGUGCGUGUGUGUCUUCAGCAUUUACCUUUCUCCAGCGUCGGACUCCCUUGGCGCUGGGGAUCCCUCCGCCUCUCAGCUCCGAAUGCACAUGUGCGGCAAGAGGCGCGCGAGCAUUUAAACCGCCCAUAGGAAAGCAUUACUCAAUGCUUUCCUAUGGACGUUCAGUGUCUUCUCACUGUGAUUUUCACAGUGAGAAUCGCGGAAGCUCCUCUAGCAGCUGUCAAUGAGACAGCCACCAGAGACUGGAUUAACCCUCAGUGAAACAUAGCCGUUUCUCUGAAACGGCUAUGUUUUCAGCUACAGGGUUAAAACCAGAGGAACCUGGCACCCAGACCACUUCAUUGAGCUGAUGUGAUCUGGCUGCUUGUAGUGGUCCUUUAAGUGUGUGUGCAUACUGCGGUCGCGGGGUCGCAGUCCUGCAACCCCUGCGACCAGGUGCCCGCCGCCAUGUGUUGUGGCCCCUACCCGCGCCGAGUAAGCACAAGGGGGGGGAGGGGGCCACGGAUACACUUGUUUAAGGUAAAUUACAUCUGAUUAAAAGUGAAACCAGUUUUUUUUUUUUUUCCAUGCAGACUGUGUCAAUCAGGGAGGUGUGACAAGUGCUGCAUAAACAGAAACAAAGUGAUUUAACUCCUAAAUGGCAGUGAAUUGAGCAGUGAAACCUGAGAAUCAUGAGCUAUGCACUAAAACGGCUUUAUUAAGCUAAAGUUAUUUAGGUGACUAUAAUGUUCCUUUAACUACUUUUUCAUUUAACCCCUUAAGGACCGAGGACGGAUCAGGACCGUCAUCGGCAUUUUUGCCUUGAGGACCGAUGACGGUCCUGAACCGUCCUAACGGUCAGAGCUACUUACCUGAUCGCCGUCGUUCCCCGGGCGGCGAUCAGCGUGGCUCCGGUUGUGGGGAGACUGCCUGCAGCCCAGACAGUCUCCCCACGGCAGAUUAGGACCCCUGUGGCCAUGUGAUCGCUUAACACAGCAAUCACAUGGUCACAAUAGGUGUCCAUAGUGCUGCCUGCAGGGGGACUGUCUGUGCUGACAGGCAGUCUCCCUGCUUGUGUAAAAUCAGAAAAAAAAAAUAAAGUUAGUGUUAAUUAAAAAAAAAAAAAUUAUUAUAUAUGUGUAUAUAUGAUAUAUAGACAUAUAUUAUAUCUAUAUAAUAUAUGUCUAUAUAUCAUAUAUAUAAUGCCAUACUAAGUGUAUUUUUAUAUUAAUAUGUACUUAUAUUAAUAUAAAAAAUACACUUAUAAUUAAAUUACACACGUAUAUAUAUAAUAUAUAUAAUAACUAUAUAUAUUGUAUAUAUAUAUUAUUAUAAAAUAUAAAUAAUAAGUAAUUUAAAUUAAAUAAAAAAUUUUUAAAAUAAUAAUAAAAAAUUAAAAAAAAUUAUAUAGCUAUAUGAAAUUUUAUUCUAACUGUAUUUUAAAAUUAAUAUAUAUAUAUUUAUAUCAAAAUACACUUAGAAUGAAUUUGUAUAUAUAUCUAUGUAUAUAAAAAUAAAUAAAAAUAAGAAAUAUACAUACGUCCAUAUACAAAAUUACAUAAAUAAAUAUAUAAAUAUACACGUAGACUUCAAAUAUAUAAAUAUGCAUAUAUAUUUAAAUUCUACGUGCGUAUUUAUGUAAUAUUUUUACAUAAUUCAGUAAUUUUAUUGAUUGCAAUUUGAGGACCUGCCUGCCAACCCAGGCCGAAAUUCCAGAGAAUUUAAUUUGCUAGCACUGUAUUUUACCCUGUAACGUUCUACGACACCCUAAAACCUGUACAUGGGGGUACUGUUUUACUCAGGAGACUUCGCUGAACACAAAUAUUAGUGAUUCAAAACAGUAAAACAUAUCACAGUGAUGAUAUUGUCAGUGAAAGUGACUUUUUUUGCAUUUUUCACACACAAACAGCACUUUUACUGAUGAUAUAAUUGUUGUGAUACGUUUUCCAGUUUUUAAACACUAAUAUUUGUGUUCAGCAAAGUCUCCUGAGUAAAACAGUACCCCCCAUGUACAGGUUUUAUAGUAUUUUUGAAAGUUGCAAGGUCAAAUAUAUGGGUCAAAUAUUUUUACAUUGAAAAUGGCCAGGUUGGUUACGUUGCCUUUGAGAGCGUAUGGUAGCCCAGGAAUGAGAAUUACCCCCAUGGUGGCAUACCAUUUGCAAAAGAAGACAACCCAAGGUAUUGCAAAUGGGGUAUGUCCAGUCUUUUUAGUAACCACUUGGUCACAAACACUGGCCAAAAUUAGCGUUCAAUUUAGUUUUUUUACUUUUUUCACACACAAACAAAUAUGAAUGCUUACUUUGGCCAGUGUUUUUCGACUAAGUGGCUACUAAAAAAGACUGGACAUACCCCAUAUUGAAUACCCUGGGUUGUCUACUUUAAAAAAAAUAUGUACAUGUGGGGUGUUAUUCAGAGAUUUAUGACAGAUAAUAGUGUUACAAUGUCACUAUUGAUAAAUUUUAAAAAUGUAUGUUUUGAAACCGCAAUAUCCUACUUGUACCUAAAGCCCUAUAACAUGCAAAAAAAAGCAAAAAAGCACGUAAACACUGGGUAUUUUUAAACUCAGGACAAAAUUUUGAAUCUAUUUAGCAGUUUUUUUCAUUCGCUUUUGUAGAUGAGUAAAAGAUUUUUCAAGUAAAAGUCAAAAAACAUGUAUUUUUUUCAAUUUUUCAUCAUAUUUUUUUAUUUUUUUUAAAUUAAAAUACAUGAGAUUAUAUAAAUAAUGGUAUGUAAAGAAAGCCCCUUUUGUCCUGAAAAAAACAAUAUAUAAUUUGUAUGGGAACAGUAAAUGAGAAGCGGAAAAUUACAGCCAAACACAAACACCACAAAAGUGUAAAAAUAUGCCUGGUCGCAAAUGUACAACAUCGCAAAAACAGUCCAGUCCUUAAGGGGUUAAUAGGUUUUCUUUUUUUUUUGCAACCCUUCCAGUAUUUACUCUACCUUUGUUUUCACUGGAUAUUUUUUAUUACUUUUAAGGAACUUUAUUGUUUCUUAUCUAGGAUGUUUCUCCUUUAUUUAGCUAAAACUUUUACUAUAUUGGACUAUAAUUGGUCUGUGUCCACUUGGACCUAUUCGAUAACUAAAGGGACACUAUAGUCACCAGAACAACUCCAGCUUAAUGUAGUUGUUUUGGUGAGUACAGUAUGUCCCUGCAGGCAUUUUCAUGUAAACCCUGCCUUUUCAGAAAAAAAAGACAGUGUUUACGUUGCUUCAGUGGCAAUUAGAGUUGAGCUAACGCGAACUGAAAAGUCCAGGUUCGCACCGAACAUUAAGGUUUUUGGACCCCGGACCUGAACACGGACAUUUCAGUGUAUGUUCGGUUUGGAGUUCGGUGUUCGGCGAUUUAAUGGCGCGUUUUGAAAGGCUGCAGGGCAGACAAUCAACAAGCGUUUGACUCGUGUGCCCAUCACAGCCAUGCCGAAAAUUAAAAAAACAGAACACACUAGCACAGACAACAGAAGACAUAGUCGAGACAUUUAUCUCUCAUUAUACAACCUAAGGGACCGCAAAAUAAAGACGAGAUUAAGACGUACUUGGAAGACAAAUUAUACAAAAUCCUUCAUUGUCCCGCACCCUGGAUGAGCCAUUCACAAGAGCCCAGGCCCGGAUGACUUCUCAGCCACAUAUUCUAAAUCCUUUUUAAAAGAGCUAGGCAAACAUUUCUUAGAAGCCCUAAACUCCAUAUCUCUGACUCAAACAAUUCCCCACUGUAACCUAGAGGCCAAUAUUACACUGUAUCACGUAUUCAUCUGCACAUAAAAAUAUGAUUAAUGGCAUUUACUUUUCUUACAGGAAAAGUUGUGCCAAGCAACAUUACUGUCCUGACAGGAAAAGUUAUGUCGAGCAGUAAUCAAUCCACAGGAGGGUUUGUGCUGAGCAGCAAUCAUGCGGGGGGUUUAGGCCCAGUUCUCCUCUUGCUCAGUGCCCUGUCGUGGUUUCCCUUGUGGUUGUCCGAGGGCGCGUUAUUGAUUCUGGUGUUUCUGGUUAUUUGACUUUGGCAUUGAUAUUGACUUCCCUGUUUUCAGGCAUCCCUGACCCCAGGCUUUUCCUUAUUGUUGUCUCUUUCUGUAUCCCUUGACCUCGGCUAUUUCUGACUAUUCUUUGGUACGUUAGUCCAGCCAUUCUAAGGUCUGGUAUAUGUUACAAUCCUCUUUGGUAUAUGCUAUCAAUCCUCUUUGUUACACAAUUCUACGUGCUGGAUCAUACUGUAAUACUGACACACUGCUCCCUAAGCCAGGGAAAGAGCUGGAGAGAUGCUUGAGUUAUCGCCCGAUCUCUUAUAAACAUGGACGUAAACAUUUUCACCAAGAUGUUGGCUUCCAGAUUAUGACCCUUGCUUUCAGGACUAGUCCAUCCUGAUCAGGCUGGAUUCGUCCCAUUUAGGGAAGCCAAAGAUAAUACCACCAAGAUUAUAAACUUACUUAAUUUAGCGAAGCAAAAAAAUACUCCAUCCCUCCUCUUAGCAAUUGACGCAGAUAAAGCUUUUGACAGGGUGGACUGGUCCUUUCUAACCAACACCUUGGAGGCAUUUGGGUUUGGACACCGGUAGAUCCAAUGGAUCCAGGCGAUUUACUCAACCCCAAUUGCCAAACUAAAAGUCAAUGGAGAAUUUUCCAACCUGUUCCCCAUUUCAAAUGGAAUGCACCAAGGGUGCCCCCUCUCUCCCCUUUUUUCAUCCUAGUCCUAAAACCCUUGUUACAGGACAUUCGUAGACAGGAAGGAAUAGAGGGCAUCAAAUUACAGAACCAGGAAUAUAAAAGGUCGGCUUUUGCAGACGACCUUCUAUUCACCAUUGAAAAUCCUAAGAAAGGUUUGUCUCAGUUGAUGGAGGCAAUCACAACUUACAGUAAACUAUCUAAUUUCAAAAUAAACAUUUUCUCAACUUGAACCACUCAAACUCACAAAUGUUACACCUGAAAAAGGCAUAUCAUAUCCAGCGGGCUAAACAAUCAAUAAAAUACCUCUGGGGAAACCUUACAUCUUCGAUCAGUACAAUAUUUUCAGCAAAUUUCCCUGGAUUAUUGUCCUCUAUUCAGAGGGACCUAGAAUCAUGGGAUAAACCGCACUCUAGAUGAAUGGGAAGGAUAAAUACUAUUUCUAUGAAUGUCCUCCCACACAUUCUAUAUCUACUGAAUACUCUUCCAAUAAUAAUCCCACAGAAAUUCUUCCGUUCCAUCCAAACCGUGCGGACCAAAGACAUCUGGGCCAAGAAACGACCGCGCGUAGCCAUAGGCAUGCGCACAGGGUGUGCCGGGUGUGCCUGGGCAAACCCUAAUCCCUGCGGCCCGCGCUGUGUGCCUCCAUGGGCUGGUGAGGGAGAUUACAGAUCUCCCUCACCAGCCCACAGGCAGGGAGGGACGCAGGAGAGGACCUGGGGAGCUCUUGCCAGCAGCUCCACGGGGUUCCUCUUGUAAGGUCGGAGCAUUGCAGCAGCAACGCUUAGAUCUCGUAAUAGUGAACUCUAGUGCUGGAGGCUAGAGUUCACUCACACUAAGACCACCAGGGAUCAGUGAUGGCAGCAAGGAUCCCCUCUCCCAGGCAAAAGGUAAGAAGGGAGGGGGGCUAUUUACUAGCCGCUGGCCUCUGCCGCUGGCCUCUGCCCUACUGACCCCCUUGUUAAAGGACUGGCCUGCACCCCCUCACCCCAGCAGAAGCACUGGCAUCAGGGCCUCUGCCCCUAAAGUCCCCACAGCGUGUUGCCCCAUCACCCCAGAGAAAUACCCUGGUGAAGUAACUGUUUGUUGUGGGUGGGCUGCUCUUGCACUUUGUUGUUAUGGGUGGGUUGUCAGACUAACUCAGGCACUGACCAACAGAAGGUCAGGUACCUGGUUAGUCUACCCCCCAAAGGGGAGAUAUGUGGCAAAAGUAACCUCGCCACUGGUUUUUGGAGGGGCCUGUUUGCCAGCCUCCUGCCCUGUGACUAUGGCCCUGGGAUGUAUUGCCCUUCUAGGAACUGAUGUGGGCAUACUUGAUUUUAUUAUGCUGCUGCUGGCCCUUUAAGAACCAUCUGGGGACAUACUGUGGAGUUACUGGGUGGCCACCAUUUCAUGUAUCAGGGGCACAUGGUGAGAACAAUGGACGAAGCACAUGGUGAGAACAAUGGAUGGUGGCCAUUUUAACUCAGACACUUUUUGGACUUUUCUACACACUGUCAUCUCGCCAGUAUUUGGUGCACAAAGACAUCGUGCAGUAGUUUUAAACUAUAGAACAGGGGACACAUUUAACAGUAAUUCUUUUUUAAAUAGCCUGUAUAUGUUCUGCGGAACCUGCAUUAAACUGUAUCUUCCAAACUACUGAACGGAUCUGGGUGAAUUUUGGAUAUAUGGUUCACCCAGACCCCCCCGGUUCCGAUGAUAUAGGGGGUUAUUGCAUGUUUUGGGGUCCCUGUGUUUUAUAAUACUGUAUUUCUGUAUUUCAGGCAGAGGGGAGGAUUUUGUGUGGGAGUGUCUGUGUGUAUUGUAUGGAUUGAUUGGUUGUAUUUCAAAACCCUGUGGGCAGUACUAUGUUUGUGGAUUGCGAAUAAAAGAGGCUGUAUGUGCCAGUACAGUCAGUUCUGCUUGACCUCAAAACGAAGUGUCGUCUCGUUAUUGGGGGAAUUGGAUUGUAUGCUGAUUGCCAGGAGUGUAAGCUGAUUGUAUGCUGUAGCGGAUGGCACUGGGCUGUCCUGGGAAUUGUAUUGGUGUUGACUGCAUUCGUGUAAAUGGCAAAGUUAUAUGUGUUAAAUGUAUUGUGCUCGUCUGAUUGUUCGGUAGUUUCAUUCCCUUAGUUUGUUCGAAUGAAACUACCGAACAGUCAGACCUCCCAUGUGUGAAGUGUGCCUUCAAUACCCGUUGCAACAUUGUUGCGAACGGGUAAUUGACAAGCUGAGUAGCCGUCCUUUGUUCUCGGGGAUGGCUGCCAUUUGGGAAACGAACACGUGGCGGCGGCCAUUUUAAAACUCCCGAACAGCGGUGUUUUGCCGUCGAGUGUCUGGAACUCAAAUUGGACACUCGACUAGGCGAACACCGCUGAGACCUCCACAAGCCCGGUCCGUUCGGUUCCAAACUACCGAACGGCUCCUCGUUCGGUAGAUAGAAACAACCGAACGAGGGGAUUCAGGCGAACCCUCCCCAGUCUCUGCAACUAGAGGCUUUCGUGUGAUUUAUUCCCUUGUUCCAGGACCGACCGCAGGGCCCCAUCGCAUGGAGCCCAAUUCGGCUAUUCCUUUCAGUGAGGUCGGUCAUUUUAUUCCCUCCAUGAAUUUCCCGAACCCUUGGUCUGAUCUGGGUGAUUUUUGGAUAUGUUGUUCACCCAGAUCAGGGCUACCAGGGGAUGUAUAAUUUAAAGCGGUACCCCUAGGUCUAGGGGUACAUCCAGAAACGGGGGGAAUUGGUGUCCUGGAUAAGGGGAUUAUGAUGCAGGCUGAGGGGAGGGGAUGUGUGGGAGGUUACCGGAACAGGAUUGGCUACUGAAUUAAUGAAUGGAAAUCCCUCCCUUGCAUGGGAGCAUGCUUUAUAAGGCCACUGUCUGAAUAAAUCUUUUGUUCUGCUCCUGAUACUGUGUGUCGUCCAGUUAUUGGGAGUGCUGUUGGGAUACUACUGUAUUGUUUUACCUGCUGGAUACCUUGCCUAUGGAUUAAUAAUUAUUUGUUCCUGAGCCUCACUGGGAUCUACAAGUGGAGGUAGGCUAUGAAAUACUAGCUCUCCGCUACAUUGGUUGGUAGCGCUGGGAUCCAGAAUCACAGAGGAACAAGCACAAAUGGAGUACGGAUGGAGAUUGAUUUUGCUACACUAAAACACUCCACGUUAAAGGACCUCCUGGAGGCAAGGGGUAUUCAAGCCAGCAACAAGAAGAAAGCGGUACUUAUUACCGAACUCCUGGCAGAGUACCGAAUGGAUGGGGGUUCGGUUACCGAACAGGGGGAUUCGGGAGAAACACAGGAACAAAUGGAGUUCCAGAGACAGUUACAAUUUAGGCUGUCUUUUUAUGGAGAGCACCCUUCAGCGGAAAUUAUUUCCAAGACCAUGACAGAGGUCCAGGAAUUCAUACUGAGGCAACGGACAACAACAACCCCAGAACGCAGCUCUACAGUAAACAUGCCACAGGAAGGUAAGCCUAAAAUACCGUAUCAGGCUUUUAAAACAUAUGUGGAGGCAGAGGAAGAUAUAGACGCUUUCCUGCAAGAUUUUGAAAGACUGUGUACACUGCAUAAAAUCAGCACAGAGGACAGGGUACCUAUUUUGGCAGGACGGUUAACUGGGAGGGCAGCAGAGGCGUAUCGUACUGUGCCAGAUGAAGAAAUCAGGAUUUACAGGAAAGUGAAAGAGAUUAUACUGGCCUGGUAUGCUAUAACACCAGAAGCAUACCGGAGGAGAUUCCGUGAUUUGAAGAAAGUGGAGAAGGACUCACGUGCAGGUUACAACGGGCAGCACUCGGGUGGGUGCAAGCUAGCAAGGCACGGUCCAUGGAGGACGUGAUACAAAUGCUGCUAAUGGAACAAUUCUAUGAUGGAGUGACAACAGAUGUCCAGGAGUGGGUAAGGGACCAAAACCCUACCUCCCUCACAGAAGCUGCCAGGAAGGUAAUGAGUACCUGGACGCACGCAGGCAACAAAAACCUGCAGUUCCAAAAGCCGCAUGGAAAACCUUUGGGGGAACCAACUACACCCCAGCCCCACCGAGGCAACUACCACCGCCCGCUGCACAGCCACGGUUUCGCCAGCUGAGCUCUGCGCCCUGUCAUCACUGCCAGAAAUGGGGGCAUUAUAAAGGAGAAUGCCCACAACUACGGGAUCGUUCCACCUGGAUCCGACCCGGCCCGGCACCACCACCAAGGGCCACCGCAGCACACUGCUACCAGGACAUAAUUGCAACACCAUAUGGCUCAGCAGUACCCAUUACCACCGUGGAACAGUUGGAAGUAUUACACGAGGCAGACCCAGUACAGGCGAAUGCGGAUAACAGACAGCACCACAGACAAACCGUGUACCUGGAGGAGAAAGCUGUACAAGGGCUCCGUGAUUCCAGGGCCACUAUUACUCUGGUCAAAAGCCACUUGGUAGUGGACAAAGCAAGAACCAACAGAACCGUAGCCGUCUGGGUAGCCAGGGGAGCUGUGUACCGGCUACCUACAGCCAGGGUUCAUCUACAUUGGGGAGCGGGGACGGGAGAAGUGGAGGUGGGGUUAGUGCCACAAUUACCAGCCAAAGUUUUGCUGGGCAACAAUCUGGGAAGACUCACGUCUGCAUUUGAGCCCACACUGCCGGAGGUCCAGGUAAGAGAUCCUUCCCCCUCCCUUGACUGUGUCCCCUGGGCCCCUCCUAACGAAUUUGCAGCCGAGGUAAUAACCGACCCCACGUUACAAGUACAUAGGGACAAGGUUACAGCAGACAUACCCUGGGGGGGGGGGGCAAAAGGUUUAUCUGGGACAAGCAGCUGUUGUACAGGGAGUCUGACAAGCAGGUAGCCGGGUCAGACCCGAUAGUUAUGCGACAGUUGUUGGUACCACAGCGGUACCGAGCAGAGUUACUCCGGAUAGCGCAUGACAUUCCGCUAUCCGGACAUUUAGGGGUCAGCCGGACCCGGCACAGACUAACCCAAAGUUUCUUUUGGCCUGGAGUUAGCCAGGAAGUGCGCCGAUAUUGCAACACUUGUGAUACGUGCCAAAGGGUAGGGGAAAGGGGGGACCGGCGCAAGGCCAAGCUACACCCCCUUCCCAUAAUUGAGGAACCCUUUAGUAGGGUAGCAGUAGAUUUAAUAGGACCCCUCAACAAAGCGAGCCCGGAAGGCAAGAGAGAUAUCCUGACUGUGGUAAACUAUGCCACUAGAUAUCCAGAGGUUGUGGCCCUCUCUAAUAUUCACGCGGAAACGGUGGUGGAGGCCCUCAUGCAGAUAUUCUCCCGGAUAGGACUCCCCAGGGAGAUUAUCUCAGAUCAGGGUACCCAGUUCACCGCCGAAGUCACUCAGCGCCUCUCGAAGUUCUGUGACAUUAAGCCUAUCACCACCCCCAGACUAAUGCGCUCUGCGAACGAUUCAACGGGACAUUGAAACAGAUGCUCCGAACCUUCACAGAGACCCACAAGGACUGGGAGAAAUUCCUGCCUCACCUCCUCUUUGCUUACAGAGAGGUGCCGCAGGAAUCCACUGGGUUUUCCCCAUUCAAAUUAUUGUUUGGCCGAAGGGUACGGGGGCCCUUAGAUUUGAUUCGAGAGCAUUGGGAGGGAGAGCGGAGCACCGACGGUACCCCCAUCAUACCAUAUGUGUUGGCCUUCCGAGAUCGCCUGGAGGCCCUAACUCAGACGGUGCAAGAAAAUUUACAGGCGGCUCAGACCCGCCAGCGCACAUGGUAUGAUCGGGGCGCCAGGGACCGUAGCUUUCAAGUCGGGCAGAAAGUGUUAAUUUUAAAACCUGUCCGACAUGAUAAGUUACAGGCCGCCUGGCAAGGCCCCUAUAAGGUGGUGGAACAAAGGUGUGACACCACUUAUAUAGUGGGCUCUUGCGUUGGUACUGGAGGGAGACGUAUGCUCCAUGUGAACAUGAUGAAGCCCUACCAGGAGCGCUCCGAGGAAGCGACCGCCAUAUGUGCACCUAACUCGGAGGAGUUCGACAGUUUGCUGCUCCCAGAUCUUCUGGGAGAUGGUCAGUUAUCUGGGGAUUUAGGGGAAGUUGCCCUGGGAGACUGGCUGAGUCCUCAGGAGCGGAGCGAGGUACAACAACUAUUGAGAGAGAAGCGCGAUACCUUCUCUAAUGUACCUGGUUACACUCCUCUGGCCACCCACUGAGUAGACACCCCAGGUCAACUUCCCAUGCGCCAGACCCCGUACCGCAUCCCAGAAGCGGUGCGGGAAAAUAUGCGCAAGGAGAUCGAUGAGAUGCUCCAGCUGGGGGUGAAUGAACCCUCAGACAGCCCCUGGGCCUCUCCAGUAGUACUAGUACCAAAACGGGAUGGGACGACCCGGUUUUGUGUAGACAACCAGAGGCUGAACGAGAAGACUGUGUCCGACGCCUAUCCCAUGCCUAGGAUAGCCGAGCUACUGGACCGGAUGGCUAGAGGGCACUACUAUUGACCUGUGCAAGGGGUAUUGGCAAAUCCCUUUAGCACAGGACGCCAUCCCUAAGUCAGCCUUUGUCAUUCGGCUUGUAUCAAUUUAAGGUCAUGCCGUUUGGGAUGAAAAACGCCCCUGUUACUUUUCAGCGGAUGGUGGAUCGCCUCCUGGAUGGGUUCCAAGACUAUACCUGUGCAUAUCUCAAUGAUAUUGCCAUAUUCAGCAAUACCUGGCAGGAACACUUGGCCCAUAUAGGAGCGAUCCUAGACAGGAUUAGAGCAGCUGGUUUAACGCUGAAACCAGCCAAAUGCAGUAUAGGGAUGGCCGAAGUACAAUACCUCGGCCAUCGGGUAGGAUGCGGCAAGCAGAAGCCAGAACCAGCCAAGGUAGAGGCUGUAGCCCAAUGGCCUACCCCUAGGACUAAGACUCAGGUACUAGCGUUCCUAGGAACAGCUGGAUACUACCGGAAAUUCGUCACUGACUUGACCCGUAAGAACCUUCCCCGUCAAGUGACCUGGACCCCGGAGUGUGAACAGGCAUUCCAACUGCUGAAAAAUGCAUUGAACAAUUCCCCUGUCUUGGCAGCUCCCAAUCCAACUAAACGUUUUCUUGUUCACAAAGACACUUCUAUGUUUGGAUUGGGAGCAGUACUGAGCCAAGUAGGGGCCGAUGGCGGAGAACAUCCUGUGGCUUACAUCAGUCGCAAGCUGUUACCUCGAGAAGUAAGCUACGCCGCCAUCGAAAAGGAAUGCCUGGCUGUGGUGUGGGCCCUGAAGAAAUUGCAGCCGUAUUUGUAUGGACAGCCCUUUUCAUUGUUCACGGAUCACAACCCGUUGGUCUGGCUAAACCGGGUGGCUGGGGACAAUGCCUGGCUGCUGCGCUGGAGUUUGGCGCUGCAGCCCUUUGACUUUAAUAUUCAGUACCGCCUGGGUAAACAGAAUGGAAAUGCUGACGGGUUGUCGAGACAAACAGACCUGGAGAAAUGAUCCAUGAGCCUCCCCGGACAUCCCCAAGCCGAUCCGUGUCGGAUCAGACUGUGUAUGCCGACUUGUGGGCAAGGGGGAGCAGUGUAGCGGAUGGCACUGGGCUGUCCUGGGAAUUGUAUUGGUGUUGACUGCAUUCGUGUAAAUGGCAAAGUUAUAUGUGUUAAAUAUAUUGUGCUCGUCUGAUUGUUCGGUAGUUCAGUAGUUUCAUUUGAACAAACUAAGGGAAUGAACAGUCAGACCUCCCAUGUGUGAAGUGUGCCUUCAAUACCCGUUGCAACAUUGUUGCGAACGGGUAAUUGACAAGCUGAGUAGCCAUCCUUUGUUCUCGGGGGUGGCUGCCAUUCGGGAAACGAACACGUGGCGGCGGCCAUUUUAAAACUCCCAUACAGCUGUGUUUUGCCGUCGAGUGUCUGGAACUCAAAUCGGACACUCGACUAGGCGAACACCGCUGAGACCUCCACAAGCCCGGUCCGUUCGGUUCCAAACUACCGAACGGCUCCUUGUUCGGUAGAUAGAAACAACCGAACGAGGGGAUUCAGGCGAACCCUCCCCUGUCUCUGUAACUAGAGGCUUUCGUGUUAUUUAUUCCCUUGUUCCAGGACCGACCGCAGGGCCCCAUCGCAUGGUCAUUUUAUUCCCUCCAUGAAUUUCCCGAACCCCUGGUCUGAUCUGGGUGAUUUUUGGAUAUGUUGUUCACCCAGAUCAGGGCUACCAGGGGAUGUAUAAUUUAAAGUGGUACCCCUAGGUUUAGGGGUACAUCCAGAAAUGGGGGGAAUUGGUGUCCUGGAUAAGGCUGAGGGGAGGGGAUGUGUGGGAGGUUACCGGAACAGGAUUGGCUACUGUAUUAAUGAAUGGAAAUCCCUCCCUUGCAUGGGAGCAUGCUUUAUAAGGCCACUGUCUGAAUAAAUCUUUUGUUCUGCUCCUGAUACUGUGUGUCAUCCAGUUAUUGGGAGUGCUGUUGGGAUACUACUGUAUUGUUUUACCUGCUGGAUACCUUGCCUAUGGAUUAAUAAUUAUUUGUUCCUGAGCCUCACUGGGAUCUACAAUUGGAGGUAGGCUAUGAAAUACUAGCUCUCCACUACAUAUGCUUUUCCUGUUCAGCUGCUUACAGCAUUCAUAUGCUUGAGAGCAUUCGUAUGCUUCUCCGGUUUGGUGGUUGUGGUGUCUGCUGCAGUGCUUGGAGUCCUCAGGAAGCGCUAGGAGCAUCCUUCAACGGAGGUACCCAGUCGGGGUGCCAGGUGAUCUGUUACAGUGGUCAUGCCCAGAAAUCGUAGGUUAUGCAGGGAUAUAGCAAAUAUUACAGAAGUUGUCUGCAAACUAAAGUUAGCUUUUAACCCGGACACAAUCCUUUUCUUCCAUAUACCAAUCUCUCCAGCAAAAUUUAAACAUUCACUUAUGUUGACAGCAGCAAAAGCAGUUAUCGCUGGAAAGUGGAAAUCUCCAUGUAAACCUACCAGAAGAGAAUGGUAUCAAAAGCUGGAUAGUUUCCACAAAAUGGAGGAAUUGAGAUUGACAGCAAUGGGUAAACAGCAUAAGUUCAUAUCCAUCUGGCAACCGUGGGUACUAUACCUGGGAAAGACAGGGGCAACAAGGAGGUCAGAGUAGCACUACCAGGGGGAUUAAUUACCCCAACAAACAAGUAAAACCGACCACACUUAGGCUUUUUAUAUAUGUUCAUUCUUUUUUUUUCUACAUUUUUGCAAUGUUUUUUCUUUAAGUUCCUGACUUCAUGUUAUAAAUUCUUCGAUUUAUCAGUCCUUUUAUACUCCUCUCAUCCAGUUGUACAAACGAUAUCAUGAAGGGGUAACACACAGUGAGGCAUUAAUGAGGAUAGACAGGCCCAGACAAUACAGGUCCAUGACUUUGAGACUUCAGAAAGAAUUACAUUCAAUCCCAGAAGGCAUACAAUCUAAGGGUUCAAUCAGGAGCGACCCGGGAAAGUUCAGGAGGCCUAAAUAUAGGGUAGAUAAGGCAGUCUUCAACAAUAUAAAAUGUGCGUGCCUUGUUAUUUCAUACAAUGUAUUCAUUUCACACAAUGUAUUAAUCGAAGUAAAAUGCCUUACCGAUCUAUGUAUAUGUAACAUACCUAUACAUAUAUAAUGCACAUUGUACUGAUCCAUGUUGAAUUUUUAUAACUGUAUGAAGAGGGAAAAAUUAUUAAAAAAUAAAAAGUGUACAUGUUUGUAUUCCUGACCCUAUAGUGUUCCUUUAAGAUAGAAAGCACUGCAUAUUUGAUAGAGCUGUAUCUGAAAUUUAGAGUUAAGCUGACAUUUUAAUCUACAUUUUGCAAACUUAGAUGUUUUAAUUGAUCUAAUAAGUUAUAUUUUAGACUUUCUUAUCUGUGAGCUGGGUAUUUGUUUUAAUUUCAUUUUUACUCCCAGAUAAUAUUUUGCUUUUUCUUUCUAUACAUGCUGAUGAUCUUGGCAUGUAUGUCUACAAUCGAGAAAAUCCUACUUUCUGCCAAAGUACAGCAGUUUAGCCAGCAAACAAAGACAUCUGUUAUGUUGAAGACAAUCUGUACUGAAAAGUCUCUCAACAAGAAAUAGUUUCCGGUCCCCUGAUAUUUAUCAAACAUUUCCUGCCAAUAUAAUGGAAUUGAGGUCUAUAUCUGGCAGCCUUAUCCUUUGCCAACCUGUAGCGAGGAAUCCUAGGAGGCCACAUUUGUCACUCAUAUUUUUGAACUGGACAACAUGUAAUAUUUUAAUACUUUAAACAUCACCUCUACUAUAUAUGGUUUUAGUAAGCCAUGUCCACACUGACUGUGACAUAAGAUAAUCAUUCCAUACACCAGUUUUAAAAUUGUGUGUGUGUGUGUGCGCGCGCGCGCCCCAGAACACUUUUUGGCUUACUACCGAUGCAUCUUUUCCUGAAAACCAUUUAGCUAAUAUAUCCUCUCUAGUUGCUGUUUUUUCCUGAAAACCAUUUAGCUAAUAUAUCCUCUCUAGUUGAUUAUUUUCACUACUAUAUAUGUGUGUAUUUAUGUGUGUGUAUGUUUUUAAAAAACAGUGUCAUGUUCUGAAUAAUAAGUUAAAGUUUAUGAAACAUAUAUAUCUAUGAGUAUGACACUUGUAAUGUAUACAUAUCUUUGCUACAGGCGUGGGGUUCUUCAUCUUCAUGAAAGUGCUGGAAUCCAUGAUCUGGGGCUACCAAGGUGGCAACUUACUCUUUGUCUUAUUGCUGUCCUUAUAGUCUUAUUUUUCAGUCUAUGGAAAGGUGUCAAAACUUCAGGAAAGGU